UUCAUGGAGAGUUUGAUCCUGGCUCAGGACGAACGCUGGCGGCGUGCUUAACACAUGCAAGUCGAACGAUGAAGCCCUUCGGGGUGGAUUAGUGGCGAACGGGUGAGUAACACGUGGGCAAUCUGCCCUUCACUCUGGGACAAGCCCUGGAAACGGGGUCUAAUACCGGAUAAUACUCCUGCCUGCAUGGGUGGGGGUUGAA
RNAcentral lists this non-coding RNA (202 nucleotides) under Streptomyces sp. CB00455. Its description in RNAcentral is "Bacterial small subunit ribosomal RNA". It matches the Rfam family "Bacterial small subunit ribosomal RNA", at positions 1 to 205 of the family's 1533-position model. Lineage: Bacteria; Bacillati; Actinomycetota; Actinomycetes; Kitasatosporales; Streptomycetaceae. The record is from Rfam by way of RNAcentral.